This is a long non-coding RNA of Rhagoletis zephyria (snowberry fruit fly), 421 nucleotides long. RefSeq lists it as uncharacterized. The record is from RefSeq and is a predicted model, not a curated record. NCBI's taxonomy places the organism in Eukaryota, Metazoa, Arthropoda, Insecta, Diptera, Tephritidae.
UCACCAUAUAAAUGAUUCCACACGCGCGACCGUCACCACGACUACGGAAACGACGCACUGCAAUCUUUCCGGGAGCUCCACUUGGAAGCUGCCAAUUCUACCGCGACGUGCUACAAUUGCAUCUGUACAGGGCACUUCGCGAAAGAGUGCAGGAAGCCAAAACGGGAAUUUGGGUCGUGUUAUGCGUGAUGACAACAAGGGCACCUGGCAAUUGAGGUAAAUACAAGAAGAAGGCCACGGAUAAAAAGUUUAAUGCCUAAUUGACUCGGGGAGCCCUAUAAGUAUAAUCAAAGAGGUUUUUGUUCCUGGACGAGUGCGUUUGGAUAAAGUUAUGAAUUCUUAUUUUGGAUUAAACAAAUCUACAUUAAAAGUAAUUGGAAAAAUGUAUGUUUCGGUUAACGUUUUGAAAAAAAAUUUUAUG